CCUACGGGAGACAGCAGUGAGGAAUAUUGGUCAAUGGCCGAGAGGCUGAACCAGCCAAGUCGCGUGAGGGAAGACGGCCCUACGGGUUGUAAACCUCUUUUGACGGGGAGCAAAGCGAACCACGUGUGGUUCAUUGAGAGUAUCCGAAGAAAAAGCAUCGGCAAACACCGUGCCAGCCGCCGCGGUAAUACUGAGGAUGCGAGGGUUAUCCGGAUUUAUUGGGGUAAAGGGGUCCGAGGGCGGAGGUGCAAGUCAGCGCGCAAAUUGCGGGGCUCAACCCCGGACUGCCGUUGAAACUGCAUCGCUUGAGUGCGCGAGAGGUAUGCGGAAUGCGUGGUGUAGCGGUGAAAUGCAUAGAUAUCACGCAGAAC
This 371-nucleotide ribosomal RNA is filed under the name uncultured bacterium. RNAcentral describes it as "partial 16S ribosomal RNA". It matches the Rfam family "Bacterial small subunit ribosomal RNA", at positions 338 to 707 of the family's 1533-position model. The record is from RNAcentral.